GUGGGGAAUCUUGCGCAAUGGGCGAAAGCCUGACGCAGCCAUGCCGCGUGAAUGAUGAAGGUCUUAGGAUUGUAAAAUUCUUUCACCGGGGACGAUAAUGACGGUACCCGGAGAAGAAGCCCCGGCUAACUUCGUGCCAGCAGCCGCGGUAAUACGAAGGGGGCUAGCGUUGCUCGGAAUUACUGGGCGUAAAGGGCGCGUAGGCGGACAGUUUAGUCAGAGGUGAAAGCCCAGGGCUCAACCUUGGAAUUGCCUUUGAUACUGGCUGUCUUGAGUACGGGAGAGGUGAGUGGAACUCCGAGUGUAGAGGUGAAAUUCGUAGAUAUUCGGAAGAACACCAGUGGCGAAGGCGACAUACUGGUCCAUUACUGACGCUGAGGCUCGAAAGCGUGGGGAGCAAACAGGAUUAGAAACCCUUGUAGUCC
This 425-nucleotide ribosomal RNA is filed under the name uncultured bacterium. RNAcentral's name for it is "partial 16S ribosomal RNA". It matches the Rfam family "Bacterial small subunit ribosomal RNA", at positions 354 to 796 of the family's 1533-position model. The record is from RNAcentral.